AACACUGAAUGAACCGAUUAGUUAUUGAAGCAGAAGAAAACUUUAUUUCUAUUAAGUUGAAGCGCAUGAAUCAAUCUUCAAGCAACAAACACAAAAAUCAAUACAAUUAAGUCGGGAGAAUGUAUACAGAACAGACCCCAGGCUUUGAUACUCUGAAGUAAGCUGACUCGUAAACAUUUGGCUCCUGGGAAACUUGAGCUGACAUUUCACAGGACAGUAAACCGAAGACAGGUGGCACCGGCUUAGAAGACCGCUUUGAACUAGGAUCACAGUGAAAUGCCAUCGUAACUUAACAAUUUCCCGAGAUCUGUUCACCCCAAAACAAAAAUAUAUAAAAAUCAGUAGUACAAAUUCUCAUAAAACUAGAGAAGCCUUCUGAGCCCUAACAUUUUUUACAGCUUAUAGAAAAGGCAGUUUUCAUAUUUCUUCCCUUUUCCUUAAAUACAAAACAGUUUGUGCCCCAGGGAGAAGCGUCUAGGUGGACUGCUCCUUUCAAAGAUUUUAAACAAGAAACUUUAAAGACACCACACUUCCUUCAACUGCCAGUCACAGGGCAGCCUUUCCCUCUGGGCAAUGUCUUAGCCUGUCUUUCUCACACCUGUCAAACUGGAGAACUGUCAAACUGAGGACUGCCCUGAGCCACUCAGAUAACGGCAUUUAUUCUGGUAAGAACUGUGCAGUUUGCUAACCACAGAUAAGAGAUGGCAUUUAUGCACAAUUUUAAUGUUUCAGUGGAUACAAGUUUUCUUUCAUAGUUGAAAUAUGGCUUUGUGGUUUCCUGAUACCCAGGACUUCUUACCUGGAAAUCAGGUUAGGUCACUUACACAGAAAGGAAUGGUAACUUAAGGUCAGACCACAUUCUUACAUUAAGUUUCCUCUACUGAGUCCCAUAGGAUAUCAAAUAUACCAGAGAGGUACUAAGAUGGGAGGAUAGAAAAUGACUCAUAAGCUGCACAGGAUCCUACGUGACAAACUUCCCAUCAAAUGCAGGAAGACUAGAAAUGGGGCCUCAGUGCAAUUACCACCCUGACCUGCUGAGGGCCAGCUCCAGUCUCAGCAGCAGAGCUCAGCAAGCAGAGUCCAGACAGGAGCCAAUGCACUGUUUCUCUACUCAUGAGACUAAAGUGCUCCCUAGGGAAAGGCACAAAACAGGCCUUUUGCAAUCCCCUGGCCAAUCCCUAUGUGAUUAAAUAAAUAAGAUUAUUUCAAUUUUUAAAUAUAAGGAGACAAGAUCAUGAAGAUACUGAUUGCACUGGGGAAUGAUUUCAUUAGACAAUGCAUGACACAGGAAGAGCUCCAGUAACACUCUGAAAGAUGUGCUCUCUAAUUUAAGUGAAGGGCUCCAAGAGGCUUAAGUUCUUAGCCAACUCAGGUUCCGGUGAACUCCACCUUAUAAGAACCAUAUCCAUGAGUUUACACAGCAUCUAUCUAAAAUUACCCAUCUUAACAUUUUAGUUCUCAAGGAAAGCCAGGAAAACCCCUGAGAGUUCCCAUGCCCUUCCUACCUUUAGCCUUCUCUACAAAACAGAGGGGUGACUUGGGUGACACGGGAGCUCAUUUUGAACUUGGCUGCAGGGGCUGAUGGUGCGAAGGUGGCAGGAGAGUGAUUCCUGGGGAAGAUGAGGCAGGAAGCAAAUCUCCCCUGGUCACUGCCAUGACUGUUACAUGACAAGCAAAGGUGGAAGCCUGGCGCUCAGAACUGCACUAAUGUGUGGUGUCACCCAGGGUCACCCUGUAUUAGGUGCUCUAUUGGCAUUUCUUCAGAUGUCAAGGAAUAAAACAGGGUUCGAAUAGCUCCAUGAAGCUUAGGCCUCUCUACAGGACCAAGGCAGGGGAUGACACAAUACCUCCAAAAGAACAACCAGGGAACAUGGGCUUGCAGGCUGGGCAGAUUAGCCUCGGCACCCGCCUGCUUCAAAGCUUUGUAUUUACAAAGGACCCAGUUCAGAUCCUCCAGCAGCUCCCUUUGCUUACCCAAGGAGAAUAAAGAGCAGUCUCAGGCUGGCACUUCAGUGAAGUCUGCUACUCUUGCUAUGGACUUGUCAGUAGAUCUAAGCAGGCUCAAGGCCUGGGUUGCUCGGGGAAAGACACUGUCAAUAUUCAGUAAGAGGCCCUGGCUUCUAAGGCAGGCAAACCUGAGUGUGAGUUGCAGCUGUACUGUUAACUGGCAGCAGAAGCCUGGGGCAAGACUUCAAAUCUUGGACACACCUUUUUUGUUUAUACCAAGAGGGAUUGGUAUGAUGCUGGGAGAAUUCACCUAGAUGCUCAUAACAACUCUAACAGGGCACAUCGUACUUUGUAGGCCUUCAUAAGAGCACCUGUCUUAAGUUUCUUGUACUGGAGGAAUAAACAAACCAGUGUUUUCCAAGUUCUAAGCAAGUGGAUCAUGGAAAGCAAAGUGAAUGAAGAGCUGGGUAGAAUCACUGAAUGUAAGAUCAGACUGGAGGCUUAGAGACCACCCAGACUCUGCUUACAUGUGAAGGAACUGCAUGCCUGGCAUUAAAGGGAAAAGCAAGAUGCUUCUUUAAUUUUACUUUUGACAAGAUUCAAUAAUAACUUUUAUUUUUAUAAAACCAUUUAGAGAAAAACAGUGAGUUUGUUACAGAAAAACUGAAGGCCAUUGGACAGGAAUCAGCAUUGUGUGUCAAAGACCAUCGAAAAGACACUCUUUGCCUCUUGCUGGUCUCACCAACAUCUGCUGCGCAAUCUCAGCACAGCAGUCAUGGCUGAGACUGUUACAGAGUGUCCCGUGCUUACUACCAGAGUCUAUUAACCCGGAAGAUAGUCAUUUCCCAUUCAUCUUCCCCCAAACUCUACAGAGGCGAAGAAAGAAGUUCGAAGAUUUUUUAAAGAAUCUCUUUAGAAUUAUCCCUAAUUCCUUUAACACUCUCAAGUUUGUGGAAACUCUCUCAUGGCAACCCUACUCUAAUGUAUACAUUUCCCACAUCUGACCUAUUUUUAUCUAUACCUGGUUCCCCAGGAGGCCUGAUAUCUGUGUUCACCCAAUCCCUACCAACAGACAUCCAAAUCUCCCAAAGUGCUCGGCAUCAACACGAUGGUACAGUGAUGGUCACAGGCCUGGACCCUGCAUCUCUACUGCAGAAGCUUACAGAGUAAACAGAUUUCUCUGUAAUUGAGAGGAUGAGGACACUGGUGUACAUUCCCACCAAGGCAGCUAAGGUAGAAGGCAUGCACAUGGAGGGAUGAGCGGAGGGACCACUGGAGUCUGAGCAGUAUAGUAAGGAAGACGGACUGGUUAGCAAACAGAACAUACGGCAGUAAAUGGACUGGGGAUACACAGCACACCUUCAGAACAUGAGUUACAUGUUUCAGUACCACUAAAGUGCGAAAUAUGACCCCUCCCCAACGUAUCAGUAUGAGAUGUUAACAUGCAAUCAUGCCAGGAAUAAAGGAUGCUCCCUGGAGACAGGCCUGAUGCUGGAAAGGAGGAUAUAAAAUUUUUAAGGCAGUAGAAGAAAUGCCAUUGUUAUCCCCAGAGGACAGCGAGACUUAAACAAGGUGGCCAACAAGUCUGGAAACCAGGAAUAUCUUUUAACAAAUGCUUUAUUGAUAUAUAAUGAUUGACAAAAUAUUAGUAUCUUCAUUUCUGGACUUUAUGGCCACCUACAGACCGCAUCUUUGGAAUAGGAAGAAAAACAAUAUUCUGUGUUCCCAUAAUGGUAAAGUUGUUAUAACUCAACAUAGGUACAAUGUACAAUUUGUGCAAUAAUUACCUCAGACCCAGAGACCCCAUUCCCUUUACUGUACUUAUCCUCUGCUUGGGUCACUCACAGGAGAAAGACACUGUCAGCACUAACACUUAGCAGCAUGUUCACUAUUCAUCUAACCGUAUCGUUAGUCCAGAAGUGCCAUAUGGUCUGAUUUCUAGCUCUGUACAUAAGAUACGAUCAUCAUUUCCAUAAGUGAGCCAUUCCCUUGUUUUUCUGAGAAUUCCAAAAGACUUAGGAAUCUCGGGUUUUUUUUUUUCCACAAUGAAAGGUACAAUAAGAGUCAGAGCAGCUGUUUAAAGUGAGCUCCUCUGCCUGGCUCAGUUCCCAGUAUGUAAAGGGACUCAACUCGGUCCCUAAGCUCUUAGUUCAUAGAAAGAAGUUAGAGGGAUUUUAAAUGUAGUAACUAUCAGGGAGCAAACAAGUCAUGAGGAAACACAGCAAAUAGAAACCAGGAUGUCUGAGGAGGAGGGAGACGUAGUCACUGGAAAGAAGCGAACCACUCAGUACAAUCAGCAUGGAUUCAAUUGUCAUCAAGGGGACACAGAAGAGGACUGGGACAAAGUGAGGUCCAGAGCCCUUCGAGUUCCCAGGCUUACUACAGCGAUGGUUCAACAGCCUUUGGAAAGUAGGGAGAACCAAAGCUUC
Molecule: long non-coding RNA, 4376 nt
Organism: Nannospalax galili (Upper Galilee mountains blind mole rat)
Lineage: Eukaryota; Metazoa; Chordata; Mammalia; Rodentia; Spalacidae
Exons: 2
Source: RefSeq, a predicted model, not a curated record